RNAcentral lists this ribosomal RNA (429 nucleotides) under uncultured bacterium. RNAcentral's name for it is "bacterial SSU rRNA". It matches the Rfam family "Bacterial small subunit ribosomal RNA", at positions 355 to 776 of the family's 1533-position model. The record is from RNAcentral.
UGGGGAAUAUUGGACAAUGGGGGGAACCCUGAUCCAGCAAUGCCGCGUGUGUGAAGAAGGCCUGAGGGUUGUAAAGCACUUUCAGUGGGGAGGAGGGAUGAGAGGUUAAUAGCUUUUUAUUUGGACGUUACCCACAGAAGAAGCACCGGCUAACUCCGUGCCAGCAGCCGCGGUAAUACGGAGGGUGCGAGCGUUAAUCGGAAUUACUGGGCGUAAAGGGUGCGUAGGUUGUUUAUUAAGUUAUCUGUGAAAUACCUGGGCUUAACCUGGGCAGGUCAGAUAAGACUGAUGGACUCGAGUAUGGGAGAGGGUAGUGGAAUUUCCGGUGUAGCGGUGAAAUGCGUAGAGAUCGGAAGGAACACCAGUGGCGAAGGCGGCUACCUGGCCUGAUACUGACACUGAGGCACGAAAGCGUGGGGAGCAAACAGG